CAGGGACUCUUAUUCAUACAUCGUGCCAUUGUCCAAUAUGAAGAAACUAGUGUUGAUUCUGAUCAUGUUACUUAUUGUGACUUCGUUUAUUGAUAAUGGUGGUACCACUCGUCGACAACGAUUAUUGAACAAAAAACACCUCACUGACAACAUACAAGAAGUCGUGGAUUUGGAAGAAAGGGUAAAAGAAUUACAAGGUCGAGAAAGCGGAUGAUACUAUCUCAAUCAAGAAAUGGAAACACCUUGUUGCUGUUGGCUUAUACAUACUAUCUUGUUUAGAUGGUAGAUUAUGUCAAUAAAAAUAUGGCCUUAUAACUUG
Saccoglossus kowalevskii is the source of this 319-nucleotide long non-coding RNA. RefSeq lists it as uncharacterized. Lineage: Eukaryota; Metazoa; Hemichordata; Enteropneusta; Harrimaniidae. The record is from RefSeq and is a predicted model, not a curated record.